CCUACGGGAGGCAGCAGUGGGGAAUCUUGGGCAAUGGGCGCAAGCCUGACCCAGCAACGCCGCGUGAAGGAAGAAGGCUUUCGGGUUGUAAACUUCUUUUCUGAGGGACGAAGAAAGUGACGGUACCUCAGGACUAAGCCACGGCUAACUACGUGCCAGCAGCCGCGGUAAGACGUUGGUGGCAAGCGUUAUCCGGAUUUAUUGGGUGUAAAGGGCGUGUAGGCGGGAAAGCAAGUCAGAUGUGAAAACUCAGGGCUCAACCCUGAGCCUGCAUUUGAAACGGUUUUUGUUGAGUGCAGGAGGGGCAAGCGGAAGUCCGUGUGUAGCGGUGAAAUGCGUAGAUAUACGGAGGAACACCAGUGGCGAAGGCGGAUUGCUGGACAGUAACUGACGCUGAGGCGCGAAAGCGUGGGGAGCAAACAGGAUUAGAUACCCGGGUAGUC
Molecule: ribosomal RNA, 443 nt
Filed under: uncultured bacterium
Lineage: Bacteria
Description: partial 16S ribosomal RNA
Rfam family: Bacterial small subunit ribosomal RNA
Source: RNAcentral